AAAUUGAAGAGUUUGAUCAUGGCUCAGAUUGAACGCUGGCGGCAGGCCUAACACAUGCAAGUCGAACGGUAACAGGAAGCAGCUUGCUGCUUCGCUGACGAGUGGCGGACGGGUGAGUAAUGUCUGGGAAACUGCCUGAUGGAGGGGGAUAACUACUGGAAACGGUGGCUAAUACCGCAUAACGUCGCAAGACCAAAGAGGGGGACCUUCGGGCCUCUUGCCAUCAGAUGUGCCCAGAUGGGAUUAGCUAGUUGGUGAGGUAACGGCUCACCAAGGCGACGAUCCCUAGCUGGUCUGAGAGGAUGACCAGCCACACUGGAACUGAGACACGGUCCAGACUCCUACGGGAGGCAGCAGUGGGGAAUAUUGCACAAUGGGCGCAAGCCUGAUGCAGCCAUGCCGCGUGUAUGAAGAAGGCCUUCGGGUUGUAAAGUACUUUCAGCGGGGAGGAAGGUGUUGUGGUUAAUAACC
This 471-nucleotide ribosomal RNA is filed under the name Salmonella enterica subsp. enterica serovar Muenchen. RNAcentral's name for it is "bacterial SSU rRNA". It matches the Rfam family "Bacterial small subunit ribosomal RNA", at positions 1 to 468 of the family's 1533-position model. RNAcentral also lists the same sequence under 42 other names. Lineage: Bacteria; Pseudomonadati; Pseudomonadota; Gammaproteobacteria; Enterobacterales; Enterobacteriaceae. The record is from RNAcentral.